Molecule: ribosomal RNA, 535 nt
Filed under: uncultured bacterium
Lineage: Bacteria
Description: bacterial SSU rRNA
Rfam family: Bacterial small subunit ribosomal RNA
Source: RNAcentral
AGCUGGCGGCGUGCCUAAAAAUGCAAGUCGCACGCAAGCUUCGGCUUGAGUGGCAGACGGCUGAGUAACGCGUGGGUGACGUACCUAUUGGUGGGGAAUAACUGCCCGAAAGGGUGGCUAAUACCGCAUACGCCUACUGAUCCGUUUCAGUAGGGAAAGUCGUAAGGCGCCGAUGGAGCGGCCCGCGUCCGAUUAUCCAGUUGGUGGGGUAACGGCCUACCAAAGCGACGAUCGGUAGCUGGUCUCAGAGGAUGAUCAGCCAGACUGGGACUGAGACACGGCCCAGACUCCUACGGGAGGCAGCAGUUAGGAAUUUUGGGCAAUGGGCGAAAGCCUGACCCAGCAACGCCGCGUGGGUGACGAAGGCCUUCGGGUUGUAAAGCCCUUUUCUCGGGGAAGAUGAUGACGGUACCCGAGGAAGAAGCACCGGCUAACUACGUGCCAGCAGCCGCGGUAAUACGUAGGGUGCAAGCGUUGCCCGGAUUUAUUGGGCGUAAAGGGCGCGUAGGCGGCUCGAAAAGUUCGUUGUGAAAUC